Molecule: transfer RNA, 68 nt
Filed under: Marmota monax (woodchuck)
Lineage: Eukaryota; Metazoa; Chordata; Mammalia; Rodentia; Sciuridae
Description: tRNA.Ala
Source: RNAcentral
GGAUUGCGGUUCAGUGGUAGAGCACUCGCCUGGCAUGUGUGAGGCCUUGGGUUCAAUCCUCAGCACCA